UGUCACAGUUGAGCGGUAAAAUGAUCGAAAGCAAGCCACUCUAUGUGGCUAUUGCACAGCGGAAGGAAGACAGAAGGGUCAGACUACAGG
RNAcentral lists this small RNA (90 nucleotides) under Arabidopsis thaliana (thale cress). RNAcentral describes it as "ATSL235050". The record is from RNAcentral. Lineage: Eukaryota; Viridiplantae; Streptophyta; Magnoliopsida; Brassicales; Brassicaceae.